GAAAUGCAAGGACGUUCUUUUUAGAAGUCCGACCAAUUCAUUCCUUCACACUGUGUACAAACUACUUUUCACACUUUUAAACACUAUAAGAAUAAGAAUGUCAUCGUCUCUUAACUGAGCAUAAACUAUUAAAACUUUCGGCAACGGAUCUCUUGGCUCC
This 160-nucleotide unclassified non-coding RNA is filed under the name rhizosphere metagenome. Its description in RNAcentral is "partial ribosomal RNA internal transcribed spacer region". The record is from RNAcentral.